GAUGAACGCUGGCGGCGUGCCUAAUACAUGCAAGUCGAGCGAACAGACGAGGAGCUUGCUCCUCUGACGUUAGCGGCGGACGGGUGAGUAACACGUGGAUAACCUACCUAUAAGACUGGGAUAACUUCGGGAAACCGGAGCUAAUACCGGAUAAUAUAUUGAACCGCAUGGUUCAAUAGUGAAAGACGGUUUUGCUGUCACUUAUAGAUGGAUCCGCGCCGCAUUAGCUAGUUGGUAAGGUAACGGCUUACCAAGGCAACGAUGCGUAGCCGACCUGAGAGGGUGUUCGGCCACACUGGAGCUGAGACACGGUCCAGGCUCCGACGGGAGGCAGCAGUAGGGAAUCUUCCGCAAUGGGCGAAAGCCUGACGGAGCAACGCCGCGUGAGUGAUGAAGGGCUUCGGAUCGUAAAACGCUGUUAUUAGGGAAGAACAAAUGUGUAAGUAACUAUGCACGUCUUGACGGUACCGAAUCAGAAAGCCACGCCUAACUACGU
This 496-nucleotide ribosomal RNA is filed under the name uncultured bacterium. Its description in RNAcentral is "partial 16S ribosomal RNA". It matches the Rfam family "Bacterial small subunit ribosomal RNA", at positions 28 to 506 of the family's 1533-position model. The record is from RNAcentral.